UCAAGCUACAAAGAGCACAAGGGGAAUGCCUUGGCACCGAGAGCCGAAGAAGGACGUGACUAACUGCGAUAAGCUGCGGGGAGCCGUAAGUAGGCUUUGAUCCGCAGAUUUCCGAAUGGAGCAAUCCGGCAAGAGGAAAGUCUUGUCAUCAUAUACUGAAUACAUAGGUAUAUGAGGGGAACCGCCUGAACUGAAACAUCUAAGUAGGGCGAGGAAGAGAAAUCAACUGAGAUUCCGUAAGUAGUGGCGAGCGAACGCGGAAGAGGCCAAACCGAGAGUAGUAAUACUUUCGGGGUUCGGACAGAAAACGGUAUUGUAAAGGUUUAGUGGAAUGGAAUGGGAAGUCCAACCGAAGAAGGUGAGAGUCCUGUACACGAAAAGCCUGAACAGCCAUCUGUAUCCAGAGUACCGCCGGACACGUGAAACCCGGUGGGAAUACGGGGGGACCAUCCUCCAAGCCUAAAUACUACUCGGUGACCGAUAGUGAAGAAGUACUGUGAAGGAAAGGUGAAAAGUACCCCUGACGGGGAGUGAAAAAGAACCUGAAACCUUGUGUUUACAAGCACCGAAAGCUCAUCAAAGAGCGAUCGGGUACCUUUUGUAGAAUGGUCCGGCGAGUGAAUGUAACCGGCGAGGUUAAGCACUUAAGGUGUGAAGCCGCAGCGAGAGCAAGUCUGAAUAGGGCGUAUGAAGUCGGUUGUAUUCGACCCGAAACCGGGUGACCUACCCAUGGUCAGGUUGAAGUAAAGGUAAAACUUUAUGGAGGACCGAACCGACUCCCGUUGAAAUGGUAGCGGAUGAACUGUGGGUAGCGGAGAAAUUCCAAUCGAACCCGGAGAUAGCUGGUUCUCUCCGAAAUAGCUUUAGGGCUAGCCUUGAAAUAGAUUACCGGAGGUAAAGCACUGAAUUGGCUAGGGGCCGAGAGGUUACUGAACCUUAUCAAACUAAGAAUGCCGGAUAAUCGUUUUUCAGGAGUCAGACAGUGGGAGAUAAGUUUCAUUGUCCAAAGGGAAACAGCCCAGACCCACAGCUAAGGUCCCCAAGUAUAGUUAAGUGGAAAAGGAUGUGGAAUUGCACAGACAACCAGGAUGUUGGCUUAGAAGCAGCCACUCAUUAAAAGAGUGCGUAAUAGCUCACUGGUCGAGUGACUCUGCGCCGAAAAUUUAACGGGGCUAAACUAUACACCGAAGCUUGGGAUACAUCUAAUGUAUGGUAGGAGAGCGUUCUGUAUGGGGAGAAGUCGUAGCGAAAGCGGCGGUGGACUAUACAGAAGUGAGAAUGCCGGAAUAAGUAGCGAGAAUUAAGUGAGAAUCUUAAUGGCCGAAAGUCUAAGGUUUUUGGAGGAAGGUUCGUCCGCUCCAAGUAAGUCGGGAGCUAAGGUCAGGCCGAAAGGCGUAGCCGAUGCACAUACGGUUGAUAUUCCGUAACCAUCUGUAAUUUAAGCAAAGGGACACUUCAAAAGGGUGUGACCCGGGCGUUGGUUGACCCGGGCGUAAGGGACCGAAAUUAGAGUAGGGAAGCACACUUGGCUGAAGGCGAGAAAAGCUUUGCGUAUAGAAACAGAUGCCCGUACCGCAAACCGACACAGGUGGACAGGAAGAGAAUUCUAAGGCCAGCGGGAGAAGGGUAGUUAAGGAACUCGGCAAAUUGACUCCGUAACUUCGGAAUAAGGAGUGCUCGAAAGAGCCGCAGAGAAUAGGCCCAGGCGACUGUUUAGCAAAAACACAGGUCUCUGCCAAAUCGAAAGAUGAAGUAUAGGGGCUGACACCUGCCCGGUGCCGGAAGGUUAAGAGGAGGAGUGAGAGCUCCGAAUUGAAGCCCCGGUAAACGGCGGCCGUAACGAUAACGGUCCUAAGGUAGCGAAAUUCCUUGUCGGGUAAGUUCCGACCCGCACGAA
Molecule: ribosomal RNA, 1897 nt
Filed under: human gut metagenome
Description: bacterial LSU rRNA
Rfam family: Bacterial large subunit ribosomal RNA
Source: RNAcentral